CCUACGGGAGGCAGCAGUGAGGAAUAUUGGUCAAUGGGGGGAACCCUGAUGCAGCGACGCCGCGUGGGUGAAGAAGCGCCUCGGCGCGUAAAGCCCUGUCAGCAGGGGAGAAAAUGACGGUACCUGAGGAAGAAGCCCCGGCUAACUACGUGCCAGCAGCCGCUGUAAUACGUAGGGGGCAAGCGUUAUCCGGAUUUACUGGGUGUAAAGGGGGCGGAGACGGCGAUGCAAGCCAGGAGUGAAAGCUCGGGGGCCAACCCCGGGACUGCUCUUGGAACUGCGUGGCUGGAGUGCAGGAGGGGCAGGCGGAAUUCCUGGUGUAGCGGUGAAAUGCGUAGAUAUCAGGAGGAACACCGGUGGCGAAGGCGGCCUGCUGGACUGCAACUGACGUUGAGGCCCGAAAGCGUGGGGAGCAAACAGGAUUAGAUACCCCAGUAGUC
RNAcentral lists this ribosomal RNA (440 nucleotides) under uncultured bacterium. RNAcentral describes it as "partial 16S ribosomal RNA". It matches the Rfam family "Bacterial small subunit ribosomal RNA", at positions 338 to 795 of the family's 1533-position model. The record is from RNAcentral.